AUGGCCUGGGUGCUGGACUUUUCAUAUUAAGUCCUGUCUUAGCCAAGGGAGAAGAAUGUAAGGAUAAGACCACCAAUAUCACAGGGGCUGUCUGAGCCUUUACCUGUGAUUUUCUACCACUCUGUGGCCUUCUGGAGCAAUGGACAGCCAAGUCAGCUAUGCAGUUCACAAAAGUGGACCUGGUUAUAUGUCAUCCAACAGCAUAUGGUCCCUGCAAGCCUGUUCGGAAGCCAAUAUUCUAUAACCUACAGGAAUCCACUGAAUCCGAUGUCUUUGGAAGCAAUACAUUUUCCAGGGUUCCAAUGGACUACGGAAUAAGGCAACACAGGGCCUGUUUUCCCGCAGUGUCCUCUGCUCCAAGGAACUUUCUUAAGGAAGCUGGACGUGUCAAUGAGGUACCUCCCGGGGUUCUACAGUUCCUCCUGCCCACUGGCCAGGGGGAAUCUGGCGGGAGCCUCUCGGUGGAUGCUCUCACAUGACUGUGCCUUCUGAAAGAACAUCUGUGAAGAGCAGUUUCUGGUGUCCCUGAGUAACCCUUUUCUAACAAUUCAGCC
Molecule: non-coding RNA, 554 nt
Filed under: Pan troglodytes (chimpanzee)
Lineage: Eukaryota; Metazoa; Chordata; Mammalia; Primates; Hominidae
Source: RNAcentral